GAUGAACGCUGGCGGCGUGCUUAACACAUGCAAGUCGAACGGUGAAGGCGGAGCUUGCUCUGCUGGAUCAGUGGCGAACGGGUGAGUAACACGUGAGCAAUCUGCCCCUGACUCUGGGAUAAGCGCUGGAAACGGCGUCUAAUACUGGAUACGAGCUUCCACCGCAUGGUGAGUUGUUGGAAAGAUUUUUCGGUCAGGGAUGAGCUCGCGGCCUAUCAGCUUGUUGGUGAGGUAAUGGCUCACCAAGGCGUCGACGGGUAGCCGGCCUGAGAGGGUGACCGGCCACACUGGGACUGAGACACGGCCCAGACUCCUACGGGAGGCAGCAGUGGGGAAUAUUGGUCAAUGGGCGCAAGCCUGAACCAGCCAUCCCGCGUGCAGGAAGACGGCCCUAUGGGUUGUAAACUGCUUUUCCAGGGAGAGAAACUUACGCACGUGUUGCGUGACUGACGGUACCCUGGGAAUAAGCAUCGGCUAACUCCG
RNAcentral lists this ribosomal RNA (483 nucleotides) under uncultured bacterium. RNAcentral's name for it is "bacterial SSU rRNA". It matches the Rfam family "Bacterial small subunit ribosomal RNA", at positions 28 to 505 of the family's 1533-position model. The record is from RNAcentral.